CCAGGUAUCCAGGCGAGUAACACAACUCUCUGCUUUACCUGACUAGGAGUCGCACACUGUUGUCUUCGGUUUCAGUCCACUCCCUGCUUUUGCACCGUCCUUAAUCAUGCCAUCAGGUUGCCAGGCUGCACCUUGCUCCUGAGUUUUAUCUGAGAUGCGGCUGUAUUUCCUGACCCCUCACUUCUGAGGGACUGAUGCUUUGACCCGCUCAGAUCCUCUGGGGUGGGGUGGGGAGGGGGUCUCAUGGAGCAAUGGCCGGGUGCCAGUAGCACCCAGGAAUGCUGGUGAGACCUUGCUGCUUCCUGUGUCCACAGACUUGUGGCGGGGUGCCAGCCCAUCCCAGAAAAAUUUCACUAAGUUACUAAGCAGCCGCUUUUCCAGGGUUGUGGAAAAUCUCGCGUGGACAGAGGACCUCCCGGACCCACUCUCCUGGGAAUUUGCCCUUCCCACCAGAGCACCACAGGUACAGCAGCCAGUCUGGCCUCAGAUGCCAUUCAGGCCUCUUUCACCUUGAAUUUUCCCUACUGCCAUUGUGCCUGGGGCCUCCAUGCUCCCCCGCCACCGGUCAGGGCAGGCUCUCCAGCUCCCAGUCUCAGUCUUCUCCACAGCUUGUGAGCAGUGUCACAGAACAGCCACCUUACAAGAACAGAGGAGAAUCUGGACCUGGAGAAGUCCUGUCCUGUGGCCCUGCACCAGUGGGACUCAAAAUCAGAGAAGUGGGGAAAAAAACCCUGCUCUGGACUGUAAGAGAACCCAGUCUGGACAGCAGAGGGCGCCAUGCAGUCAGUGCCGGCGGGAAACCAAAAAGGUGGCGAUUGAGAAUUCCCAGAUUUCCUUGCCUUUUCUCUCUCGCCGAAUUCAUAAAUCAGAAAGCCUGGGAUCUAAUCCCCAUAAUACUAGUAUUCUCAACAAACCGUACACGAACUGUAAGGGCACCUGGAAGGGGGCAGGCUGACCUGCAUCGUCUUGACAGCAAAGGAUGAUUGGAGCCAGGGGUCCUGUUCAGAGCUGAUGAAAUGUCUAUGAAACUUUUCCCUCCCCCCCCCCCCAUGCUAGUUCUCCUGAGUCACCACCCGGAGAGUGUUCCAUAGAAGGGGAGGGAGAUGAAAAAGCCACAUCAUCCUCUCUUCCCUUUAGCUCUUUUCCAAGCUUUUUAAAAAAUUUUUCAGCUUCUCUCCUUAGUCAUUUUCCCCCUCUAAUGUUUUGUUUCAGAAUUAGCUGGAAGACUUCUUCCCCCUACCACCCCCCCCUUCAGCAUUUUGCUUAUCCUUUAGUUUAUUGAGCUCUGGAGAAUUUAUGCCCUAUAAAUAAAUAAAGGUAUUAUUAUUAUGUAGCUCUAUUCAAAGAAUUAGUUGAAGGGGAAAAGUGACAUUUUUCUUUAUUUCCUUAGAAAUGUAUUACAGUCACCAUAGCUCUCCCCUAGCCAUGGAUUAAUGGCAUAAUCAUUCACACUGGGCAACUGAGAUGGAAUGAGUUUGAACUUGGCAUGAAUUAAUAUACUAAAAUAUGCCUCCUGUUCUCUCUCAUUGCCUAAUUAAUUCUGAAUUAUGAAAUUCCCUUUGAGCUUCCCAAAAAUCAUGGUCAUUGGAUUCUGGUGCAAUUAUUCUUUCUUUGCAAUAAAAAUCAAGUGAUUUGAUAAUUA
Hyaena hyaena (striped hyena) is the source of this 1642-nucleotide long non-coding RNA. RefSeq lists it as uncharacterized. Lineage: Eukaryota; Metazoa; Chordata; Mammalia; Carnivora; Hyaenidae. The transcript is spliced from 4 exons. The record is from RefSeq and is a predicted model, not a curated record.